AUUGAACGCUGGCGGCAUGCCUUACACAUGCAAGUCGAACGGUAACAGGUCUUCGGAUGCUGACGAGUGGCGAACGGGUGAGUAAUACAUCGGAACGUGCCUAGUAGUGGGGGAUAACUACUCGAAAGAGUGGCUAAUACCGCAUGAGAUCUACGGAUGAAAGCAGGGGAUCGCAAGACCUUGUGCUACUAGAGCGGCCGAUGGCAGAUUAGGGAGUUGGUGGGAUAAAAGCUUACCAAGCCGACGAUCCGUAGCUGGUCUGAGAGGACGAUCAGCCACACUGGGACUGAGACACGGCCCAGACUCCUACGGGAGGCAGCAGUGGGGAAUUUUGGACAAUGGGCGCAAGCCUGAUCCAGCAAUGCCGCGUGCAGGAUGAAGGCCUUCGGGUUGUAAACUGCUUUUGUACGGAACGAAAAGCCCCGGGUUAAUACCCUGGGGUCAUGACGGUACCGUAAGAAUAAGCACCGGCUAACUACGUGCCAGCCGCCGCUGUAA
RNAcentral lists this ribosomal RNA (498 nucleotides) under uncultured bacterium. RNAcentral describes it as "partial 16S ribosomal RNA". It matches the Rfam family "Bacterial small subunit ribosomal RNA", at positions 30 to 523 of the family's 1533-position model. The record is from RNAcentral.